This 513-nucleotide ribosomal RNA is filed under the name uncultured bacterium. RNAcentral's name for it is "partial 16S ribosomal RNA". It matches the Rfam family "Bacterial small subunit ribosomal RNA", at positions 28 to 523 of the family's 1533-position model. The record is from RNAcentral.
GACGGACGCUGGCGGCAUGCCUAAUACAUGCAAGUCGAGCGAACAGAUGAAGUGCUUGCACUUCUGACGUUAGCGGCGAACGGGUGAGUAACACGUAAGAAAUCUACCUAUAAGCGGGGGAUAACAUUCGGAAACGGGUGCUAAUACCGCAUAAUAUCUUCUUCCGCAUGGAAGAAGAUUGAAAGACGGCUCUGCUGUCACUUAUAGAUGACCUUGCGGUGCAUUAGUUAGUUGGUGGGGUAACGGCCUACCAAGACGAUGAUGCAUAGCCGACCUGAGAGGGUGAUCGGCCACAUUGGGACUGAGACACGGCCCAAACUCCUACGGGAGGCAGCAGUAGGGAAUCUUCCGCAAUGGGCGAAAGCCUGAAGGAGCAAUGCCGCGUGAGUGAAGAAGGCCUUCGGGUCGUAAAACUCUGUUAUAAGAGAAGUACAAAUUGUAGAGUAACUGCUACAGUCUUGACGGUAUCUUAUCAGAAAGCCACGGCUAACUACGUGCCAGCCGCCGCCGUAA